CCUACGGGAGGCAGCAGUGAGGAAUAUUGGUCAAUGGACGAGAGUCUGAACCAGCCAAGUAGCGUGAAGGAUGACUGCCCUAUGGGUUGUAAACUUCUUUUAUAUGGGAAUAAAAUGUUCCACGUGUGGGAUUUUGUAUGUACCAUAUGAAUAAGGAUCGGCUAACUCCGUGCCAGCAGCCGCGGUAAUACGGAGGAUCCGAGCGUUAUCCGGAUUUAUUGGGUUUAAAGGGAGCGUAGGUGGAUUGUUAAGUCAGUUGUGAAAGUUUGCGGCUCAACCGUAAAAUUGCAGUUGAAACUGGCAGUCUUGAGUACAGUAGAGGUGGGCGGAAUUCGUGGUGUAGCGGUGAAAUGCUUAGAUAUCACGAAGAACUCCGAUUGCGAAGGCAGUUCACUGGACUGCAACUGACACUGAGGCUCGAAGGUGUGGGUAUCAAACAGGAUUAGAUACCCCAGUAGUC
This 460-nucleotide ribosomal RNA is filed under the name uncultured bacterium. RNAcentral describes it as "partial 16S ribosomal RNA". It matches the Rfam family "Bacterial small subunit ribosomal RNA", at positions 338 to 795 of the family's 1533-position model. The record is from RNAcentral.